This 196-nucleotide ribosomal RNA is filed under the name uncultured Thauera sp. Its description in RNAcentral is "partial 16S ribosomal RNA". It matches the Rfam family "Bacterial small subunit ribosomal RNA", at positions 1191 to 1382 of the family's 1533-position model. Lineage: Bacteria; Pseudomonadati; Pseudomonadota; Betaproteobacteria; Rhodocyclales; Zoogloeaceae. The record is from RNAcentral.
CCUCAUGGCCCUUAUGGGUAGGGCUUCACACGUCAUACAAUGGUCGGUACAGAGGGUUGCCAAGCCGGCGACGGUGGACGCCAAAUCCCUUAAAGCCGAUCGUAGUCCGGAUCGUAGUCUGCAACUCGACUACGUGAAGUCGGAAUCGCUAGUAAUCGCAGAUCAGCAUGCUGCGGUGAAUACGUUCCCGGGUCUU